Molecule: ribosomal RNA, 443 nt
Filed under: uncultured bacterium
Lineage: Bacteria
Description: partial 16S ribosomal RNA
Rfam family: Bacterial small subunit ribosomal RNA
Source: RNAcentral
CCUACGGGUGGCAGCAGUGGGGAAUAUUGGGCAAUGGAGGAAACUCUGACCCAGCAACGCCGCGUGAAUGAUGAAGGUCUUCGGAUUGUAAAGUUCUUUUCUAAGGGAAGAAGAAAGUGACGGUACCUUAGGAAUAAGCCUCGGCUAACUACGUGCCAGCAGCCGCGGGAAUACGUAGGAAGCGAGCGUUAUCCGGAAUGACUGGGCGUAAAGGGUGCGUAGGUGGUUUGGCAAGUUAGUAGCGUAACUCCAAGGCUCAACCUUGGAACUGCUACUAAAACUGUUGGACUUGAGUGCGGGAGAGGCAAGCGGAAUGCCUGGUGUAGCGGUGGAAUGCGUAGAUAUUGGGAGGAACACCGAUGGCGAAGGCAGGUUGCUAGACUGUAACUGACGCUGAGGCACGAAAGCGUGGGGAGCGAACAGGAUUAGAUACCCGAGUAGUC